AGUCUGUUAGCUUAGUUGGUAGAGCCUCGUGCUAAUAACGCGAAGGUCGUGGGUUCUAUCCCCACAUGGAUCA
This is a non-coding RNA of Orussus abietinus, 73 nucleotides long. The record is from the annotation of a RefSeq genome assembly. NCBI's taxonomy places the organism in Eukaryota, Metazoa, Arthropoda, Insecta, Hymenoptera, Orussidae.